AGAACUACUAACCUCAGACUCAUAGGAUCUAGGGCUCAAUUCUAUCAAGUUAAUAAAUCAUAACAAGCAUCUCUUUCUGAAAAAUAACUUUAGUUCCAUGUGUACUCCUGGACUCCUGGUUGAUGUUAGACAAAAUCAUAAUACAGAUUCCUAAAGUAAGAAUAAUUACCCUACUUUAUUGACUGGGUAGACUUACUAGCCCGGCCCAUUCUAGAGAGCUGGAAAUGACUAAAUAUCCUCAUCCUAGAGUCAAAGAUAAACAUAUGAGCAAUUGAUCUGCAACAAAUUGAAUUAAAUAGACAUAGGUCAAAACUAAAAUACAAACUAAGUCUAGACCAAAAUGAUAAUAUAGUUGAUCUUUCUUUUUGCUUUCCCUGGAGCUUCUUGUUGGCUGCUUUAGUUAUAUUGGCUGCAAAUUUUAACUUGGAAAAGUUGGCAUGGAUACAUGAAAAUAGCUAAUGAAUUUGGAAAUAUGUAAUAACUCAGGCAUAUCAGAAAUUGUUGUAGCGAAUUCGGAAAUUUAACUCUGUUGAAUGUGCUUUUAGCAUUUUUAUGAGUGAUGUCCUCUGCUGCCAUCUUUUAUCUU
RNAcentral lists this unclassified non-coding RNA (586 nucleotides) under Hevea brasiliensis (rubber tree). The record is from RNAcentral. Lineage: Eukaryota; Viridiplantae; Streptophyta; Magnoliopsida; Malpighiales; Euphorbiaceae.